CAAAAAAGAAACUGGCUGCCGACAGGAUCGAAACAAACUUUUCAAGAGCUCUUUGCAGUGUUAAGAAUCUCCUUUACAGUCCUCUGCUCCUCUUCAUUUAGGGAAUUAAUUCUAAUUUCUGUAUGGGUCAAGCUUUCUCCUAGCUUUCUCCUAUUUUGCAACAUUGAAAUAAAUGCGGUUUUGCAUUAGCAAUUCACCACUGAAACAAAGCACUUGCUCACAAAAUCCCACCAGCUACCCAGGCUGAAAUUUUAUAUAUUCUUUUUCUCUAUUUCAGCCCUUCACUAUAGGACACCUUAUCCUAGAAUGAUACAUAUGCCACCUUCAGCUGUGCCAAAAACAAGUACAAAACAAAGGAAGACUCAAGAGCGCAUCAGAAAACAGGCCAAACCUGUUUACAUGCACUCUGACGAUGACAUUGAUAAAUGAAAGGCUUUAUGGGUUGGGGUGCAUUUACACAUGCAGAAUGCUGACAUAGUGCUAUUCUUGUCUGAGAUUCAAGGCUUUUAAUAAGUGGUACUGUUAUGCUGUAUGCAUGGAUGGAUGGACAGCUAAAUGGCCGGAUGCACCAAUGGAUCGACAAAUGGAGGGAAAGACUAAACUGACUGACUUAUUAACAUUCUCAGUGGUAAACCAAUUGAUUGGUUGUAAGAUUGUGUGAUUAAGAGAAUGAAAUUAUUUCAUUCUCUUUACUCAGUCUAGCAUACUCAUUUUGGGUUAAAAAUCAAAACAACACUCAGUAAAGUACUGUGCAAUUCUAAAAUGUUUUAUUCACCUUUAAUUCUAUUUACACACUAAAAAUAAAAAAAUACUUUGCAAACUGCACAAUAAUUCAAAUCCAUACUAUCCUAGCAUGUUUAAGAGUUCACUUUUUGUACAAAUAGUCACAUAACUAUUCAAGUGGCAUUGCCUGUUAUUUAACAUAAGAUACACAGGUAUAAUGUGGCUCACCCUGGCAUUAAUUUCUGGCAACUGAACUGAACUUUAGUCAUUGAAUUCAAUAUGAUGCGAGUGUCACUAGCAAAAAACCAUAAUGAUAAUGCAAUCUCACUGACAAAAAGUAGUAAAUUGGUAUUUCUAGUAUAGGCAUUGGAAGUAUUGUUUUAUGAAAUUCUUGGCACAACUUUGUCUUGGGUUCUAUAAGUGUUAUUGGAGCCAUUUUAAAUAAUUUUUGUAACAAACAUAAAAAGGAAAAAAUAGACUGAAGAAUGAUGCUUAUUUAGACAUAAUUUUGAGAUAUACAUGUACAAUGUGGUCUUGGAAUUGUCAAAAGUAAAUAAAUACUAGGAAGUAAAUCAGGGUAAUGGUCAUUAAAGCUAAACAAGAUUGAGUUGUUAUCUUAA
Orbicella faveolata is the source of this 1343-nucleotide long non-coding RNA. The record is from RefSeq and is a predicted model, not a curated record. NCBI's taxonomy places the organism in Eukaryota, Metazoa, Cnidaria, Anthozoa, Scleractinia, Merulinidae.